This 440-nucleotide long non-coding RNA is filed under the name Nicotiana benthamiana. Its description in RNAcentral is "long non-coding RNA (NBEN_LNC004060)". The record is from RNAcentral. Lineage: Eukaryota; Viridiplantae; Streptophyta; Magnoliopsida; Solanales; Solanaceae.
UCACCCGGCACAGCAUGUUUAUUCUCGGCGGCGAUUACAGUCUCUUUCCCAGGGUCAGGCUACUCCAGAAGAUCAGCAGUCUAGCCCAGUUGCUUCCCUUCCAGUCGCUUCCUCAAAUUCUGGAUCCCGCUCUCAGCUUCGUCGAUCCUCUCAAGUUUCUUAUCCUGUUGAAGGCUUAUGAAUCGUUUUCCCCAAAAGAUCGAGCUUACCUCAUCUCAGUUCAAUCUUCUCAUGAACCUGACAGUCUAGACCAGUUGUUGCGCUUCAUGUCGCUUCCUCAAAUUCUGGAUCCCGCUCUCAACUUCGUCGAUCCUCUCGAGUUUCUUAUCCUGUUGAAGGCUUAUGAACCGUUUUCCCCAAAAGAUCGAGCUUACCUCAUCUCAGUUUAAUCUUCUCAUGAACCUGAAUCAUUUGCUGAAGCCUCCAAUCAUUCUUGCUGG